AGAGUUGGCAGGCGAGUCCUCGAGUUCGAGCUCUGCAGGACUUUGGGCAGAAGGCCAAGGCACACUGGAGUGACGCAGGAGAGGGGCCUGUUCUGCAGGGCUUCAGAAGCACAGCGCGCCCGGGCCCUCUCCACCUCCCAGGCCUGCCCUGUCUGCUCUGCACAGACGCCCUCUUCACGCCCCCGAUGUUGGCACGCUGACUGCCAGCAGCUCCCGCGGCGCACCCUCCCAGGCCCAACACUCGCAGUCUGGCAUCUGUGCUUCCCAAACAGUCACCCUUAUGCCAUCUGGUCCUCUGCCCUAUUGAAACCAGAUCUCAGGCAGAUAGUAGCCUGGACACAUCGCCACCGGGAAGAAAUGUAGAGCGGAAGGCCCAUCAAUGGUAAGUCUCUUUCUGGAUUCUGGGCUCAAAAAUCCUCGGGCUUUAAGGCAGCAUGGACAGAAGUAUUCUCAGUAAAUGUGUACGAGGGAGCCAAA
This 477-nucleotide long non-coding RNA is filed under the name Capra hircus (goat). RNAcentral describes it as "lncRNA (ENSCHIG00000006889.1)". Lineage: Eukaryota; Metazoa; Chordata; Mammalia; Artiodactyla; Bovidae. The record is from RNAcentral.